AAAAACUCAGAAAAACCACUGACAACACCAACAAAAGAAAAAUACAACAAGCAAUACUAUUACACCAAAGAAGGGAAAUUUUCGGGAGCGUAUAAAAAGAGACGGAAAAAAUAAUCAAUUUGCUACUCUUCAGGGAAGUGAGGAUUGAGUCUUAAUCUAAAAAACCCUAAAAAUAGAAAAUCACAUAAAAAAAAAUGGAAACAUUGCACAUGUAAUAAAAAAAAAUAAAUAAAAAGAUCCGAUUUUUCCGCCGAGAAAACAGCACCCAUAGUCAAAUAUUACAAAUAAUAAUAAUUUUAAGAAAAAAAACUGAUAUUACUACAUGUGAAAAAUCAAACACCGAAAAUCUGUGACUGACGGAUCGAGCCGCAC
Molecule: unclassified non-coding RNA, 372 nt
Filed under: Hevea brasiliensis (rubber tree)
Lineage: Eukaryota; Viridiplantae; Streptophyta; Magnoliopsida; Malpighiales; Euphorbiaceae
Source: RNAcentral